GACGAACGCUGGCGGCGUGCUUAACGCAUGCAAGUCGAACGAUGAAGCUGGAGCUUGCUCCGGUAGAUUAGUGGCGAACGGGUGAGUAACACGUGAGUAAUCUGCCCUUGACUCUGGGAUAACUGCGGGAAACUGUAGCUAAUACCGGAUACGACACCUUCGGGCAUCCGAUGGGUGUGGAAAGAAUUUCGGUCAAGGAUGAACUCGCGGCCUAUCAGCUAGUUGGUGAGGUAAUGGCUCACCAAGGCGACGACGGGUAGCCGGCCUGAGAGGGUGACCGGCCACACUGGGACUGAGACACGGCCCAGACUCCUACGGGAGGCAGCAGUGGGGAAUAUUGCACAAUGGGCGAAAGCCUGAUGCAGCAACGCCGCGUGAGGGAUGAAGGCCUUCGGGUUGUAAACCUCUUUUAGUUGGGAAGAAGCGAAAGUGACGGUACCAACAGAAGAAGCACCGGCUAACUACGUGCCAGCAGCCGCCGUAA
RNAcentral lists this ribosomal RNA (484 nucleotides) under uncultured bacterium. RNAcentral's name for it is "partial 16S ribosomal RNA". It matches the Rfam family "Bacterial small subunit ribosomal RNA", at positions 28 to 523 of the family's 1533-position model. The record is from RNAcentral.